This 478-nucleotide ribosomal RNA is filed under the name Ilyonectria sp. RNAcentral describes it as "eukaryotic LSU rRNA". The stretch from base 112 to 265 matches the Rfam family "5.8S ribosomal RNA". Lineage: Eukaryota; Fungi; Ascomycota; Sordariomycetes; Hypocreales; Nectriaceae. The record is from RNAcentral.
GUGACUACCUAUUUGUUGCCUCGGCGGUGCCUGUUCCGACAGCCCGCCAGAGGACCCCAAACCCUGAUUACAUUUAAGAAGUCUUCUGAGUAAACCGAUUAAAUAAAUCAAAACUUUCAACAACGGAUCUCUUGGUUCUGGCAUCGAUGAAGAACGCAGCGAAAUGCGAUAAGUAAUGUGAAUUGCAGAAUUCAGUGAAUCAUCGAAUCUUUGAACGCACAUUGCGCCCGCUAGUAUUCUGGCGGGCAUGCCUGUCCGAGCGUCAUUUCAACCCUCAAGCCCCCGGGCUUGGUGUUGGGGAUCGGCGAGCCUCCGCGCCCGCCGUCCCCUAAAUCUAGUGGCGGUCUCGCUGUAGCUUCCUCUGCGUAGUAGCACACCUCGCACUGGGAAACAGCGCGGCCACGCCGUUAAACCCCCAACUUCUGAACGUUUGACCUCGGAUCAGGUAGGAAUACCCGCUGAACUUAAGCAUAUCAAA